UAAUUCUAGAUGCACUUUCCAGUACAUCUACUAUGUUACGACUUAUUUCAUAAAUUAAUGAAAGCGACGGGCGAUAUGUACAUAAUUUAGAGCUACUAUCAUAUAGGCUUGUUAAACCCAUAUUACUAUCAAAUCCUCUUUCCUAGAUUCAACUUACUAAUUCUUUCCAUCUAAAUAAAAUUUAUUGUAACCCAUUUAAACUUAUUUAUGUGCUGCACCUUGAUCUAAUUUUUUUAACAAAUUAAUUUUAAUAUUUAUUUCUCUAAAAAUUAUCUAAUAAUGAUGGUAUACAAACUAAAAAUAAGUAAGAUAUUACGAGGUGUAUCGAUUAAUUUUAAACAGGUUCCUCUGACAAGACUAAAUUACCGCCAAAUUCUUAAAGUUUUAAGUUAUAUCUAUUAAUAAUUCAAUAUUCAUUUAUUAACCUUAAUAUAAUAGGGUAUCUAAUCCUAGUUUACCUUUAAAGCUUAUUAGCUUCCUUUAAAUAUUUAUAAUUUACAAAAUAACAAAAUUUCACCUAUUAAAACUUAUAAACUUACAUUUAUACAUUUAAAGUAACUUAAAUAUUUAUAUCUUUACUCAACCAUUUAAGUCUAACCGCGAAUGCUGGCACAAAUAUUUAUCAGAUUUAUUAACUAUUACUUACUGGCUCAUAUUCUCAUAUAUCUUACCAAACUCUUACACUGAGAAUUAAAAUAAUUAUAAUUUUAAUUAUACUCAUUCUAUCACUAAUAUAAAAUUAGUUUCUAUAACAAACUAAUUAUUUUCAUGUGAUCUUAAUAAUAUAACAAAGAUUUAAGCCAGAAUCAAACAUUAC
Molecule: ribosomal RNA, 817 nt
Filed under: Geothelphusa sp. DJL-2014
Lineage: Eukaryota; Metazoa; Arthropoda; Malacostraca; Decapoda; Potamidae
Description: small subunit ribosomal RNA
Source: RNAcentral